AGUGUGCGUGUGCAUGUGGGGGAGUGAUGCUCCUCCUCCGAGCUUCAUAACCGAGUGUCGCUGCUGCCGCCGGUCAGUGAGGCGCUGCUGAGCCCGAGAGAUGACGACAGGCUGUGUGAGGCCGACCCUGGAGCCUGAACAUGGACCGAUGACACAGGAAGGCAAACGCUGUAAGCACAAUGAGGCGGGCCUGAUGGACAGGAAGUCUGAGAUGCAGGACGAUAAAGGGGACAAGGAGUGCAAAGAGAAGCAGGCGGACCAGAAGAAACCUCGCAGGAAAGACACGCCCAUCCUCCACUGUCCUCCACAUAUACCAGGAGUGACGCUGCUGAAAGCACAGAAGCAGAUGGUCCACGUAGAGGACGAGGAGAAAGACGUGAAGGAAUAAAACUUUUAUUUCCCUUUUAUUCUGUCAAUGAAUUGUCACGGUUUGAGUUCAUGUGCAGUUUUAUUUUGUAGUUUCUUGUCUCCCUGGGUAACGUCACUUCCUGCCUUGUCCUGGCUGUCCCCCGUGAUUGACUGUCGUGUCAUGAUUGUUUCCAGCUGUUUCCAAUCACCUGCACCUCCCAAGUGUAUCUAGGUCAUGUGUGUUUGUUGUCACUGGUCGCGUCAUUGUUAGUUGUUCGUUAGCUCAUGUCCAUGUCACAGUUGUUGUGGUUUCUCGACUACGUUUUACCUUCUUGGAAUUUUUGAGUUUUGGAAUUUUUGACUAUUAAAGUCUGGAAAACUCUGCGUCUGAGUCCUACCUUCCCCAACGUACCGUCCAGACAGAAUGACGCGACCAGAAGAGGAGGCCAUCUCGUGGUCGUCCGGCGGCGGAUCGCACUGGGAGCGGGUGAUGGACCUCGCGGUCCGGCUCUAGGCCACCUACGCUCUCCACGCUCGGCCUCAGCGCACGACGUCCAGCGCUGGGCCGCAGCAGCUUCCCAACACGGCCUCCCGACCCAAGCCCAUGACCCCCCCCAGCCGACGCCCCGAUCCAGGCCCACGACUCUGGUACGGACCCCCGAUUCAAUCCCACGACUCCUGUACCGGCUCCCAGAUUCAAUCCCACGACUCCCGUUCCGGCCCCUCCACUAAAGCCCCCUCCCACCUGUCCCGUGGUCCCCUCCCCCCCAUGGCAGGGGUUGGACCGGCGUCCCAGUGCCCAGCCUCCGUGUCCUGCAGCCGGCGACUCCGGAGGCUUUAUGUGCCGCGCAGUCGGCAACGACUCCGGCUUCCCUCGCCGCGCAGCCGGCAACGACGGCUUCCCGUUCCAGUGUCCUGCAGUCGGCGCCCGGGAGCCAGACUCCUGACCGUCCUCCGGGCCGACCCCCGGAGCCCCCCCCGGCAGUCUGACCGCCCGCCGGGCCGCCCGCCAGGGUUCUCUGGUGUCCCUCCCGCCCCUUGUCUGUUCCUUGCCAGGUUAGGGCCAUCUGGAAUUUGGCCCUUGAGGGGGGAGUUCUGUCACGGUUUGGGUUCAUGUCCGGUUUUAUUUUGUAGUUUCUUGCCUCUUGUCUCCCUAGGUCACGUCACUUCCUGCCUCGUCCUGUCGCCAGUGAUUGUCUGUCGCGUCAUGAUUGUUUCCAGCAAUUUCCAAUCACCUACCCCUCCGUGGUAUUAACGCCAUGUGUGUCACGUCAUUGUUAAUUGUGCGGAAGCCCAUGUCCACGUCAUAGUUCCUGUCUCCUGUUCCUCAACUACGUUUUGCCUUUCUGGAAAUUUGAGUUUGGAUUUUUUGACUAUUAAAGUCCCUUUUUGUUUCUGGAAAACUGCGUCUGAGUCCUACCUUUACCUCCUCGCACCUUCCUGACAUGAAUGUUGUUUUAUCUUAGCUUCCUG
This is a long non-coding RNA of Gasterosteus aculeatus aculeatus (three-spined stickleback), 1821 nucleotides long. The record is from Ensembl. Lineage: Eukaryota; Metazoa; Chordata; Actinopteri; Perciformes; Gasterosteidae.